AACGCACGCUAAAUCAAAUUCAUAUCAGUAUACUCUCUGUGCUCUAAUCACUUACUUCAAUGGCGGACUCCAAUUCCCCUAGUGCCCCCCAAACCCUUAUUGACGGCAACGUUCUCGCCGCCAAAUCUUUCGCAAGCUGCGGCGUCACCCACAUGUUUGGCGUUGUCGGCAUACCCGUCACGUCCCUCGCCAACCGUGCUGUCUCCCUUGGAAUCCGUUUUUUGGCCUUCCACAAUGAGCAGUCCGCUGGCUAUGCCGCCUCCGCCUACGGUUACCUCACUGGCCGACCUGGCUUGCUUCUUACUGUUUCCGGCCCCGGUUGUGUCCAUGGCCUUGCUGGAUUGUCUAAUGCUAUGGCCAAUACUUGGCCGAUGGUGAUGAUAUCCGGCUCCUGUGACCAAAAAGACGCCGGUCGGGGUGACUUUCAAGAGCUUGAUCAGAUAGAGGCAGUGGAACCAUUUUCCAAAUUUUCGGUGAAAGCUAAAGAUGUUAAGGAUAUACCUAAUUGCGUUGUUCAGGUUCUUGAUCGGGCCGUUGCUGGCCGCCCCGGUGGAUGCUAUUUGGAUCUUCCAUCUGAUGUUUUGCAUCAAACUGUGACGGAAUCUGAGGCGGAGAGUUUGGUAACUGCUGCCUUGAAUUCUUCAGAAUCGAAACCAAUUGCAAAUGGGAGUGAGGUUCCAACCUCAGAAAUUGAGCGAGCCGUGGAGUUGCUCAGGAAAGCAGAGAGGCCUCUUAUUGUGUUUGGAAAAGGGGCAUCAUAUGCACGAACAGAGAAUGAACUGAGGAAGUUAGUUGAAACCACUGGAGUCCCAUUCUUGCCUACUCCAAUGGGAAAAGGCUUGUUGCCUGAUACCCAUGAGCUUGCAGCAGGUGCAGCAAGGUCGCUUGCUAUUGGUAAAUGUGAUGUCGCACUUGUGGUUGGCGCUAGGCUUAAUUGGCUGUUGCACUUUGGAGAGCCUCCCAAGUGGUCUAAGGACGUGAAAUUUAUAUUGGUGGAUGUGUGUAAGGAUGAGAUUGAGCUAAGGAAACCACAUUUGGGUUUGAUCGGGGACGCAAAAAAGGUUUUGGAAUUGAUCAAUAAGGAGAUCAAGGACGAUCCUUUUUGUUUGGCGAAGAGUCAUCCAUGGGCGGAGGCAAUUUCCAAGAAAGCAAAGGAGAAUGUGUCAAGAAUGGAGGCUCAGUUGGCGAAGGAUGUUGUGCCAUUUAAUUUCUUGACGCCUAUGAGGAUUAUUAGAGAUGCCAUUUUGGGAGUGGGGAGCCCUGCUCCAAUAGUGGUGUCAGAGGGGGCUAAUACGAUGGAUGUUGGGAGAGCUGUGUUGGUACAGACAGAGCCUAGGACUAGGUUGGAUGCUGGCACUUGGGGGACAAUGGGGAUUGGGUUGGGUUAUUGCAUUGCAGCGGCAGUUGCUGAGCCUAAUCGACUUGUAGUUGCAGUUGAAGGUGACUCUGGAUUUGGGUUCAGUGCCAUGGAAGUUGAGGUGUGCACUAUUAUAAUUUCUUUAUGCUUCUUCAUUGCUUUAGCAUUCUCAUUUGAUGUUCUUUUUACUUUUCUGUUCGGGUUAAUGAAUGACAAAAAAUCCGAACUUUUCCUACAAUUAGCACUGUCUAUUUAAACUAAUAGUGAUAGUCACUUGUGACUCUCUUUGGGGUAAUAUUAUCUUUGUUUAAUAAUAUUGUCCAAGCUAUUAUCUUAAAUAGACAG
Molecule: unclassified non-coding RNA, 1702 nt
Filed under: Hevea brasiliensis (rubber tree)
Lineage: Eukaryota; Viridiplantae; Streptophyta; Magnoliopsida; Malpighiales; Euphorbiaceae
Source: RNAcentral